ACAGUGGAGUUAAUAAACUCCACAAGCUGAUACUAAAAAAUGACA
This is a non-coding RNA of Corchorus olitorius, 45 nucleotides long. Lineage: Eukaryota; Viridiplantae; Streptophyta; Magnoliopsida; Malvales; Malvaceae. The record is from Rfam.